RNAcentral lists this ribosomal RNA (460 nucleotides) under uncultured bacterium. RNAcentral describes it as "partial 16S ribosomal RNA". It matches the Rfam family "Bacterial small subunit ribosomal RNA", at positions 338 to 795 of the family's 1533-position model. The record is from RNAcentral.
CCUACGGGAGGCAGCAGUGAGGAAUAUUGGUCAAUGGGCGCGAGCCUGAUCCAGCGAAGUAGCGUGAAGGAUGACUGCCUUACGGGUUUUAAACUUCUUUUAUAAAGGAGUAAAGUGAGGCACGUGUGCCUUUUUGUAUGUACUUUAUGAAUAAGGAUCGGCUAACUCCGUGCCAGCAGCCGCGGUAAUACGGAGGAUCCGAGCGUUAUCCGGAUUUAUUUGGUUGAAAGGGAGCGUAGAUGGGUUGGUAAGUCAGUUGUGAAAGUUUGUGGCUCAACCGUAAAAUUGCAAUUGAUACUGGCAGUCUUGAGUACAGUAGAGGUAGGCGGAAUUCGUGGUGUAGCGGUGAAAUGCUUAGAUAUCACGAAGAACACCGAUUGCGAAGGCAGCUUACCAAACUGCCACUGACAUUGAUGCUCGAAAGUGUGGGGAUCAAACAGGAUUAGAUACCCUGGUAGUC